UUAAUUACGCUUUAGGAAGACUCAGGAGCACCAGCAAUGAGACUAGGACGGCUGCUUGCAGUGACCGUGGGAGGAAUAGACUUUGAUGGAGAACGGGUGGCAAUUGGAUUGAAGAUAGUUUGUUUUUGUUCGUGGAUAGCGGAAAACCUACCGAAAAGCGAUACCCAAGUUCAAUGUUGCAGAAAUUGCUGCGAAACAAAUGAUAACGAAAAUCUGAACGACGAAAGUUUUAAGCAUACACAUAAAAAUAAAAAAGCGACGCAAUGAUAUCGUACUUACUCGAAUGUUUGUUUUCCUUUUAUGUUAUUUACAUAAUAUAUAAAUAAUUCGGUC
This is a long non-coding RNA of Melitaea cinxia (Glanville fritillary), 333 nucleotides long. RefSeq lists it as uncharacterized. The transcript is spliced from 2 exons. The record is from RefSeq and is a predicted model, not a curated record. NCBI's taxonomy places the organism in Eukaryota, Metazoa, Arthropoda, Insecta, Lepidoptera, Nymphalidae.